UUCCGGUUGAUCCUGCCGGAGGCCAUUGCUAUCGGAGUCCGAUUUAGCCAUGCUAGUCGAGCGAGGUUAGCCCUCGCGGCGAACAGCUCAGUAACACGUGGCCAAGCUACCCUGCAGAGGGGGACAGCGUCGGGAAACUGACGGGAAUCCCCCAUACCGGUCUCACGCUGGAAUGCCGAGACCGACAAACGCUCCGGCGCUGCAGGAUGCGGCUGCGGCCGAUUAGGUAGUCGGUGGGGUAACGGCCCACCGAGCCGAUAAUUGGUACGGGGUGUGAGAGCACGAGCCCGGAGACGGAAUCUGAGACAAGAUUCCGGGCCCUACGGGGCGCAGCAGGCGCGAAACCUUUACACUGCACGAACGUGCGAUAAGGGGACUCCGAGUGCGAGGGCAUACAGUCCUCGCUAUUGUGUACCGUAGGGUGGUACACGACCAAGAGCUGGGCAAGACCGGUGCCAGCCGCCGCGGUAAUACCGGCAGCUCGAGUGAUGGCCGAUUUUAUUGGGCCUAAAGCGUCCGUAGCUGGCCCUGCAAGUCCGUCGGGAAAUCCACUCGCCUAACGAGUGGGCGUCCGGCGGAAACUACAGGGCUUGGGACCGGAAGACUUGAGGGGUACGUCUGGGGUAGGAGUGAAACCCUGUAAUCCUGGACGGACCGCCGAUAGCGAAAGCACCUCAAGACGACGGAUCCGACAGUGAGGGACGAAAGCUAGGGUCUCGAACCGGAUUAGAUACCCGGGUAGUCCUAGCUGUAAACGAUGUUCGCUAGAUGUGGCA
This 776-nucleotide ribosomal RNA is filed under the name uncultured archaeon. RNAcentral's name for it is "bacterial SSU rRNA". It matches the Rfam family "Archaeal small subunit ribosomal RNA", at positions 1 to 778 of the family's 1478-position model. The record is from RNAcentral.